RNAcentral lists this ribosomal RNA (1343 nucleotides) under metagenome. Its description in RNAcentral is "bacterial LSU rRNA". It matches the Rfam family "Bacterial large subunit ribosomal RNA", at positions 1569 to 2925 of the family's 2925-position model. The record is from RNAcentral.
ACGAGCUGCUACGGCAGCGAAGUGGGUGAUGUCAAGCUUCCAAGAAAAGCCCUAUACCCGUUAAGGCAUGAUGGCCUGUACCCGAAACCGACACAGGUGGGGUGGUAGAGAAUACCGAGGGGCGCGAGAUAACUCUCUCUAAGGAACUCGGCAAAAUGGCCCCGUAACUUCGGGAGAAGGGGUGCCACCGCAAGGUGGUCGCAGUGAAGAGGCCCAGGCGACUGUUUACCAAAAACACAGGUCUCCGCUAAGUCGCAAGACGAUGUAUGGGGGCUGACGCCUGCCCAGUGCCGGAAGGUUAAGGAAGCUGGUCAGCGUAAGCGAAGCUAGCGACUGAAGCCCCGGUGAACGGCGGCCGUAACUAUAACGGUCCUAAGGUAGCGAAAUUCCUUGUCGGGUAAGUUCCGACCCGCACGAAAGGCGUAACGAUCUGGGCGCUGUCUCGGAGAGAGGCUCGGCGAAAUAGAAUUGUCUGUGAAGAUGCGGACUACGUGCACCCGGACAGAAAGACCCUAUGAAGCUUUACUGUAGCUUGGUAUUGUGCUCGGGCUCGGAAUGCGCAGGAUAGGUGGGAGGCUAUGAACCAUUGCUUGUGGGUGAUGGUGAGCCACUGGUGAGAUACCACUCUUUCCGAGCUAGAGUUCUAACAGCCACCCGUUAUCCGGGGGCUGGACAGUAUCAGGUGGGCAGUUUGACUGGGGCGGUCGCCUCCUAAAAGGUAACGGAGGCGCGCAAAGGUUUGCUCAGGCUGGUUGGAAAUCAGCCGACGAGUGUAAAAGCAGAAGCAAGCUUGACUGUGAGACCUACAAGUCGAACAGGGAGGAAACUCGGCUUUAGUGAUCCGACGGUUCUGCGUGGAAGGGCCGUCGCUCAACGGAUAAAAGUUACUCUAGGAUAACAGGCUGAUCUCCCCCAAGAGUUCACAUCGACGGGGAGGUUUGGCACCUCGAUGUCGGCUCAUCGCAACCUGGGGCUGAAGUCGGUCCCAAGGGUUGGGCUGUUCGCCCAUUAAAGCGGUACGCGAGCUGGGUUCAGAACGUCGUGAGACAGUUCGGUCCAUAUCCGGUGCAUGCGCAGGAAUAUUGAGAGGAUUUCUCCCUAGUACGAGAGGACCGGGAGGAACGCACCUCUGGUGUACCAGUUAUCGUGCCAACGGUAAACGCUGGGUAGCCAUGUGCGGAGAGGAUAACCGCUGAAAGCAUCUAAGUGGGAAGCCCACCUCAAGAUGAGUAUUCCCAUGGGGUAACCCAGUAAGGUCACGGGAAGAACACCCGUUGAUAGGCUCUACGUGGAAGCGCAGUAAUGUGUGAAGCGGAGGAGUACUAAUAGACCGAGGGCUUGAC